This 450-nucleotide ribosomal RNA is filed under the name uncultured bacterium. Its description in RNAcentral is "partial 16S ribosomal RNA". It matches the Rfam family "Bacterial small subunit ribosomal RNA", at positions 354 to 796 of the family's 1533-position model. The record is from RNAcentral.
GUGGGGAAUUUUGGACAAUGGGCGCAAGCCUGAUCCAGCAAUGCCGCGUGCAGGAAGAAGGCCUUCGGGUUGUAAACUGCUUUUGUACGGAACGAAACGGUCCGGGUUAAUACCCUGGGUGGAUGACGGUACCGUAAGAAUAAGCACCGGCUAACUUCGUGCCAGCAGCCGCGGUAAUACGAAGGGUGCAAGCGUUAAUCGGAAUUACUGGGCGUAAAGCGUGCGUAGGUGGUUGUUCAAGUCUGUCGUGAAAGCCCUGGGCUCAACCUGGGAAGUGCAUUCGUGACUGCAAGGCUAGAGUGUGUCAGAGGGAGGUGGAAUUCCGCGUGUAGCAGUGAAAUGCGUAGAGAUGCGGAGGAACACCGAUGGCGAAGGCAGCCUCCUGGGAUAACACUGACGCUCAGGCACGAAAGCGUGGGGAGCAAACAGGAUUAGAAACCCGUGUAGUCC